UGAGGAACAUGACCUUCGGCGGGGGAUAGCCGGCCCAACGGCCGGGUAAUACCGCGUACGACCUUUCGGGGACAUCCCUGGAUGGUGAAAGCAGCAAUGCGCCGAUGGAGUGCCUCGCGGCCUAUCAGCUUGUUGGUGAGGUAAUGGCUCACCAAGGCGACGACGGGUAGCCGGCCUGAGAGGGUGACCGGCCACACUGGGACUGAGACACGGCCCAGACUCCUACGGGAGGCAGCAGG
RNAcentral lists this ribosomal RNA (239 nucleotides) under uncultured bacterium. RNAcentral describes it as "partial 16S ribosomal RNA". It matches the Rfam family "Bacterial small subunit ribosomal RNA", at positions 118 to 354 of the family's 1533-position model. The record is from RNAcentral.